This is a non-coding RNA of Marmota flaviventris (yellow-bellied marmot), 508 nucleotides long. The record is from RefSeq and is a predicted model, not a curated record. NCBI's taxonomy places the organism in Eukaryota, Metazoa, Chordata, Mammalia, Rodentia, Sciuridae.
AAACAACAAUCCUAAAAUUCAUAUGGAACUACAAAAGAUCCUGAAUAAAGAGAACAAAGCUGGAAGCAUCACAAUUAUCUGACUUCAAAAAUACUACAAAUCUGCAAUAACUUAAACAGCAUGAUCCCAGUAGAGAAGAGGGCAGCUUGCCUCAGAGGAUAAACAGGAAAUGAGGAGCUAUCUGGCACAUGUACAUUCAACCAGAAGAUAAGGAGCAAGAGGAGAAGGAGGGGAUUCCACUGAGAGGAAGCCUAUCUGUGACUACUCUUCCUCUAGAACAUGCAUAUUCCACGAUUUCCUUCUGAGCCAAGCACCUGAGAUGGAUGUGGCUUUUCAAGAUGUCAGUCAUCUGAUGACAAGACAUCACCAAGCAAGACUCCAUCCUUCAAAACCCAAUCCCUUGCCUUAUUCGGGUGGAACUUUCUCAAAUGUCUUUCCCCCCAAUAAAUACCAGGGUUCAGGGCAUUCUGGCCUUCUUGCCUGCCUUUUGCCUCCCUUGAUCUCUGUG